UGGUAACACCCGAAGUCAGUUAGUCUAACCGCAAGGAGGACGCUGCCGAAGGUGGGAUUAGCGACUGGGGUGAAGUCGUAACAAGGUACC
RNAcentral lists this ribosomal RNA (90 nucleotides) under uncultured bacterium. RNAcentral's name for it is "partial 16S ribosomal RNA". It matches the Rfam family "Bacterial small subunit ribosomal RNA", at positions 1412 to 1500 of the family's 1533-position model. The record is from RNAcentral.